UACCUUUUGUAUAAUGGGUCAGCGACUUAUAUUCUGUAGCAAGGUUAACCGAAUAGGGGAGCCGAAGGGAAACCGAGUCUUAACUGGGCGUUAAGUUGCAGGGUAUAGACCCGAAACCCGGUGAUCUAGCCAUGGGCAGGUUGAAGGUUGGGUAACACUAACUGGAGGACCGAACCGACUAAUGUUGAAAAAUUAGCGGAUGACUUGUGGCUGGGGGUGAAAGGCCAAUCAAACCGGGAGAUAGCUGGUUCUCCCCGAAAGCUAUUUAGGUAGCGCCUCGUGAAUUCAUCUCCGGGGGUAGAGCACUGUUUCGGCAAGGGGGUCAUCCCGACUUACCAACCCGAUGCAAACUGCGAAUACCGGAGAAUGUUAUCACGGGAGACACACGGCGGGUGCUAACGUCCGUCGUGAAGAGGGAAACAACCCAGACCGCCAGCUAAGGUCCCAAAGUCAUGGUUAAGUGGGAAACGAUGUGGGAAGGCCCAGACAGCCAGGAUGUUGGCUUAGAAGCAGCCAUCAUUUAAAGAAAGCGUAAUAGCUCACUGGUCGAGUCGGCCUGCGCGGAAGAUGUAACGGGGCUAAACCAUGCAC
This 591-nucleotide ribosomal RNA is filed under the name Escherichia coli. RNAcentral's name for it is "partial 23S ribosomal RNA". It matches the Rfam family "Bacterial large subunit ribosomal RNA", at positions 602 to 1194 of the family's 2925-position model. The record is from RNAcentral. Lineage: Bacteria; Pseudomonadati; Pseudomonadota; Gammaproteobacteria; Enterobacterales; Enterobacteriaceae.